AUGGGCGGCCGCGCCCGCUCCCUCAUCCGCUGGCUGCGCCACCACCGCUCCCGCCGCGUCUCCUCCGCCUCAUCCUCUUCCUCCUCCCACCUGACCGCGCACACCAAUACAUCCUCCGCGACCACCGCCACCAGCGACCUGCGCGCACGCUCGCUCCCGCAGCCGCAGGACGACGAGGUCCACUGGGAGGAGCAGGAGCAAGAGCAGGAGGAGGUCGCCGACGGCCCCGAGUCCGACCCCGAGGGAUACAUUGUGCUCGAGCGGGAGGGGGAGGCCGGGAGCCUGCGCGUCGUCGUACCCCGCGCGCCCGCGCGCACCAACCCGCCGCCACGCAUGGAUCCCGGCAAGAAGACCUCGGAAUCCGAGUUCUUCACGGAGUAUGGUGAAUUAAACCGGUAUCAGGUCAGCGAGGUCAUUGGCAAAGGGAGUUAUGGUGUUGUGGCUGCUGCUAUCGACACCCAGACCGGCGAGCGUGUGGCCAUCAAGAAGAUCAAUGACGUCUUUGAUCAUGUCUCCGAUGCCACCCGCAUCCUUAGGGAGAUCAAGUUGCUCCGGUUGCUGCGUCACCCGGACAUAGUUCAGAUCAAGCACAUUAUGCUCCCCCCUUCAAGGAGGGAAUUCAGGGACAUAUAUGUGGUCUUUGAGCUGAUGGAGUCCGAUCUCCAUCAGGUAAUAAAAGCGAACGAUGAUCUCACACCAGAGCAUCACCAGUUCUUCUUGUAUCAGCUGCUCCGGGGAAUGAAGUACAUCCAUGCAGCGAGUGUUUUCCAUCGGGAUCUUAAGCCCAAGAAUAUUCUAGCGAAUGCUGACUGCAAGCUGAAGAUUUGUGAUUUUGGGCUUGCCCGUGUAUCAUUUAAUGACGGGGCUCCAUCAGCCAUAUUCUGGACGGACUAUGUUGCAACUAGAUGGUAUCGUGCUCCAGAAUUGUGUGGCUCUUUUUUCUCAAAGUACACUCCUGCAAUUGAUAUUUGGAGCGUAGGGUGUAUCUUUGCAGAAAUGCUCAUAGGGAAGCCACUCUUUCCAGGGAAGAAUGUUGUCCAUCAAUUGGAUCUCAUGACUGAUGUACUUGGCACUCCUUCAGCAGAAUCUCUCGCUAAGAUACGGAAUGAGAAAGCUCGGCGAUACUUGAGCAAUAUGAGGAAGAAGCCUAAAGUUCCCCUUACCAAAAAAUUUCCAGGCAUCGAUCCUAUGGCUCUCCAUUUGCUUGAGCGUCUUCUUGCUUUUGAUCCUAAGGAUAGGCCAACUGCUGACGAGGCCCUGACAGACCCAUACUUUACCGGAUUAGCAAAUUCAGAACGUGAACCCAUAGCACAGCCCAUCUCAAAACUUGAGUUUGAGUUCGAGAAGAGAAAGUUGGGCAAAGAUGAUGUCCGAGAAUUAAUUUACAGAGAGAUUUUGGAGUACCAUCCUCAGAUGUUGCAAGAAUACCUACGUGGAGGAGACCAGAUGAGCUUCAUGUACCCUAGUGGGGUGGAUCGCUUCAAGCAGCAAUUCGCUCAUUUGGAAAAAGGUGGUGCGAAGGGUGAAAAAUCCAGUCCACAGUUGCGACAAAAUGCUUCCUUACCAAGGGAAAGAGCAAUUGGCAAUAAGCACGGAGAUAGUGACUACCAAGUAAAGCUGAAUACAGGUGAAAAGCCAGUACAUGCAUCAGUGACAGAUGGAAUAAGCAAACCCCUCAUGAGUGCUCGGAGCUUACUGAAGAGUGAAACCAUGAGUGCUUCCAAGUGUAUAGGUGAAAUAAAAAAUAAAGAUGAUGAAUACGAGAGCGUGGAUGCAGCUGACGGCGUCUCUCAGAAGGUCGCUCAACUGAAAACCUGA
RNAcentral lists this ribosomal RNA (1818 nucleotides) under Triticum aestivum (bread wheat). RNAcentral describes it as "partial small subunit ribosomal RNA". The record is from RNAcentral. Lineage: Eukaryota; Viridiplantae; Streptophyta; Magnoliopsida; Poales; Poaceae.